Molecule: ribosomal RNA, 1488 nt
Filed under: Ephemera danica
Lineage: Eukaryota; Metazoa; Arthropoda; Insecta; Ephemeroptera; Ephemeridae
Description: bacterial SSU rRNA
Rfam family: Eukaryotic small subunit ribosomal RNA
Source: RNAcentral
CCUUGCACUUUACCCAAGUAACACUGAUGGCCUCCCCUUUUAAUAAGUUUAAGCAGCAACUCCUGGCUUUGUUUUCAAGGUCUUUUUUUGGGAGUUUGCAAAAUUGCUUAAAUGUGGUUACUUUGAAUAAAUUAGAGUGCUCAAAGCAGACAAAAGAAAAGUUAGGGACUUUUUUAAGUAAAAGAUUCCAACUAUUUUAAAAUGUUUGAAUAUCUUAGCAUGGAAUAACGGAAUAGGACUUUGGUUCUAUUUUGUUGGUUUCUAGGACCAGAGUAAUGAUAAAAGUGGGCGGUCGGGGGCGUAGGUAUUCAAUCGUCAGAGGUGAAAUUCUUAGAUUGAUUGAGGACCAACAAAUGCGAAGGCAUUCGCCAAGGACGUUCCAUUCGAUCAGGAGCAAAAGCCAAAUUAGCAAAAGUGAUUAGAUACCACUGUAGUUUUGGCUGUAAACGAUGCCGACAAGGGAUCGGAUGUGUCUAAAAUAAAAUUAGGGGCACAUCCGGCACCUUUAGAGAAAUCAAGAGUAUUUGGGUUCCGGGGGGAGUAUGGUCGCAAGGCUGAAACUUAAAGGAAUUGGCGGAAGGGCACCACAAGGGGUGGAGCUUGCGGCUUAAUUUGACUCAACACGGGGAAACUUACCAGGUCCAGACAUAGCAAGGAUUGACAGAUUGAUAGCGCUUUCUUGAUUCUAUGGGUGGUGGUGCAUGGCCGUUCUUAGUUCGUGGAUUGAUUUGUCUGGUUAAUUCCGUUAACGAGCGAGACCUAGACCUGCUAGUUAGUGUGGAUGGGGAUAGUGCAACCAAAAGGAAUCAAAAUUUUCUUUUUAUUACUCUCUUUCUCUAUUCACUAGAAAAGGAGAAAGAAGAAAACUUCCUGCACUUUUAAAAAGUUCAUAUAUGAAAAGAAAAGAAAAAAAAGAAAUUUCAUGUUUUUUUUUUAUCUUUUUGGAUCUUUAUGAAUAUAUCCCGUUUUGUUUUUUGCAAUAGUUGAAAAUUUUCAAUGAAUUGUGAAAAAUUUACACACUUCCUAGAGGGACAACUGGCUUUUAGCCAGCGGAAGUAUUAGGCAAUAACAGGUCUGUGAUGCCCUUUGAUGUUCUGGGCCGCACGCGUGCUACAAUGAUGAACUCAGCGAGUUUACAAGCUGGUAAAACUUGGUACAAUAAAUAUUGUUACUAAAGCCAGUAAGUAUGCCUGGGCCGAGAGGUUUGGGUAAUCUUUUCAAAGUUUAUCGUAAUGGGGAUAGACCUUUGUAAUUAGCGGUCUUGAACGAGGAAUCCCUAGUAAGUGCAGGUCAUCAGCCUGCGCUGAUUACGUCCCUGCCCUUUGUACACACCGCCCGUCACUACUACCGAUUGAGUGUGUUAGUGAGAACUUUGGAUUGAAGCCUGAUUCUAGGAAACUAGGAAUGGGCAUCAAGAAAUUUUUCAAACUACUAUGCUUAGAGGAAGUAAAAGUCGUAACAAGGUUUCCGUAGGUGAACCUGCGGAAG